GGUUAAGCGACUAAGCGUACACGGUGGAUGCCCUGGCAGUCAGAGGCGAUGAAGGACGUGCUAAUCUGCGAUAAGCGUCGGUAAGGUGAUAUGAACCGUUAUAACCGGCGAUUUCCGAAUGGGGAAACCCAGUGUGAUUCGUCACACUAUCAUUAACUGAAUCCAUAGGUUAAUGAGGCGAACCGGGGGAACUGAAACAUCUAAGUACCCCGAGGAAAAGAAAUCAACCGAGAUUCCCCCAGUAGCGGCGAGCGAACGGGGAGGAGCCCAGAGCCUGAAUCAGUGUGUGUGUUAGUGGAAGCGUCUGGAAAGGCGCGCGAUACAGGGUGACAGCCCCGUACACAAAAAUGCACAUGCUGUGAGCUCGAUGAGUAGGGCGGGACACGUGGUAUCCUGUCUGAAUAUGGGGGGACCAUCCUCCAAGGCUAAAUACUCCUGACUGACCGAUAGUGAACCAGUACCGUGAGGGAAAGGCGAAAAGAACCCCGGCGAGGGGAGUGAAAAAGAACCUGAAACCGUGUACGUACAAGCAGUGGGAGCACGCUUCGGCGUGUGACUGCGUACCUUUUGUAUAAUGGGUCAGCGACUUAUAUUCUGUAGCAAGGUUAACCGAAUAGGGGAGCCGAAGGGAAACCGAGUCUUAACUGGGCGUUAAGUUGCAGGGUAUAGACCCGAAACCCGGUGAUCUAGCCAUGGGCAGGUUGAAGGUUGGGUAACACUAACUGGAGGACCGAACCGACUAAUGUUGAAAAAUUAGCGGAUGACUUGUGGCUGGGGGUGAAAGGCCAAUCAAACCGGGAGAUAGCUGGUUCUCCCCGAAAGCUAUUUAGGUAGCGCCUCGUGAAUUCAUCUCCGGGGGUAGAGCACUGUUUCGGCAAGGGGGUCAUCCCGACUUACCAACCCGAUGCAAACUGCGAAUACCGGAGAAUGUUAUCACGGGAGACACACGGCGGGUGCUAACGUCCGUCGUGAAGAGGGAAACAACCCAGACCGCCAGCUAAGGUCCCAAAGUCAUGGUUAAGUGGGAAACGAUGUGGGAAGGCCCAGACAGCCAGGAUGUUGGCUUAGAAGCAGCCAUCAUUUAAAGAAAGCGUAAUAGCUCACUGGUCGAGUCGGCCUGCGCGGAAGAUGUAACGGGGCUAAACCAUGCACCGAAGCUGCGGCAGCGACACUAUGUGUUGUUGGGUAGGGGAGCGUUCUGUAAGCCUGUGAAGGUGUACUGUGAGGUAUGCUGGAGGUAUCAGAAGUGCGAAUGCUGACAUAAGUAACGAUAAAGCGGGUGAAAAGCCCGCUCGCCGGAAGACCAAGGGUUCCUGUCCAACGUUAAUCGGGGCAGGGUGAGUCGACCCCUAAGGCGAGGCCGAAAGGCGUAGUCGAUGGGAAACAGGUUAAUAUUCCUGUACUUGGUGUUACUGCGAAGGGGGGACGGAGAAGGCUAUGUUGGCCGGGCGACGGUUGUCCCGGUUUAAGCGUGUAGGCUGGUUUUCCAGGCAAAUCCGGAAAAUCAAGGCUGAGGCGUGAUGACGAGGCACUACGGUGCUGAAGCAACAAAUGCCCUGCUUCCAGGAAAAGCCUCUAAGCAUCAGGUAACAUCAAAUCGUACCCCAAACCGACACAGGUGGUCAGGUAGAGAAUACCAAGGCGCUUGAGAGAACUCGGGUGAAGGAACUAGGCAAAAUGGUGCCGUAACUUCGGGAGAAGGCACGCUGAUAUGUAGGUGAAGNNNNNNNNNNNNNNNNNNNNNNNNNNNNNNNNNNNNNNNNNNNNNNNNNNNNNNNNNNNGUUAAUUGAUGGGGUUAGCGCAAGCGAAGCUCUUGAUCGAAGCCCCGGUAAACGGCGGCCGUAACUAUAACGGUCCUAAGGUAGCGAAAUUCCUUGUCGGGUAAGUUCCGACCUGCACGAAUGGCGUAAUGAUGGCCAGGCUGUCUCCACCCGAGACUCAGUGAAAUUGAACUCGCUGUGAAGAUGCAGUGUACCCGCGGCAAGACGGAAAGACCCCGUGAACCUUUACUAUAGCUUGACACUGAACAUUGAGCCUUGAUGUGUAGGAUAGGUGGGAGGCUUUGAAGUGUGGACGCCAGUCUGCAUGGAGCCGACCUUGAAAUACCACCCUUUAAUGUUUGAUGUUCUAACGUUGGCCCGUUAUCCGGGUUGCGGACAGUGUCUGGUGGGUAGUUUGACUGGGGCGGUCUCCUCCUAAAGAGUAACGGAGGAGCACGAAGGUUGGCUAAUCCUGGUCGGACAUCAGGAGGUUAGUGCAAUGGCAUAAGCCAGCUUGACUGCGAGCGUGACGGCGCGAGCAGGUGCGAAAGCAGGUCAUAGUGAUCCGGUGGUUCUGAAUGGAAGGGCCAUCGCUCAACGGAUAAAAGGUACUCCGGGGAUAACAGGCUGAUACCGCCCAAGAGUUCAUAUCGACGGCGGUGUUUGGCACCUCGAUGUCGGCUCAUCACAUCCUGGGGCUGAAGUAGGUCCCAAGGGUAUGGCUGUUCGCCAUUUAAAGUGGUACGCGAGCUGGGUUUAGAACGUCGUGAGACAGUUCGGUCCCUAUCUGCCGUGGGCGCUGGAGAACUGAGGGGGGCUGCUCCUAGUACGAGAGGACCGGAGUGGACGCAUCACUGGUGUUCGGGUUGUCAUGCCAAUGGCACUGCCCGGUAGCUAAAUGCGGAAGAGAUAAGUGCUGAAAGCAUCUAAGCACGAAACUUGCCCCGAGAUCAGUUCUCCCUGACUCCUAGAGAGUCCUGAAGGAACGUUGAAGACGACGACGUUGAUAGGCCGGGUGUGUAAGCGCAGCGAUGCGUUGA
RNAcentral lists this ribosomal RNA (2801 nucleotides) under Escherichia coli. RNAcentral describes it as "partial 23S ribosomal RNA". It matches the Rfam family "Bacterial large subunit ribosomal RNA". Lineage: Bacteria; Pseudomonadati; Pseudomonadota; Gammaproteobacteria; Enterobacterales; Enterobacteriaceae. The record is from RNAcentral.